CAGUGAAAAGCCAAACUAAGAGGCAUUUAACUGUUAAUUAAAAAAUUGAAAGACCUUUCUUCACUGA
RNAcentral lists this transfer RNA (67 nucleotides) under Bathypolypus sponsalis. RNAcentral describes it as "tRNA-Asn". Lineage: Eukaryota; Metazoa; Mollusca; Cephalopoda; Octopoda; Octopodidae. The record is from RNAcentral.